AUUGAACGCUGGCGGCAGGCCUAACACAUGCAAGUCGAACGAGUGGCGGACGGGUGAGUAAUGUCUGGGAAACUGCCUGCUGGAGGGGGAUAACUACUGGAAACGGUAGCUAAUACCGCAUACCAUCGGAUGUGCCCAGCUGGGAUUCGCUAGUAGGUGGGGUAACGGCUCACCUAGGCGACGAUCCCUAGCUGGUCUGAGAGGAUGACAAGCCACACUGGAACGGAGACACGGUCCAGACGCCUACGGGAUGCAGGAGUGGGGAAUAUUGCACAAUGGGCGCAAGCCGGAUGGAGCCAUGCCGCGUGGAUGAAGAAGGCCUUCGGGUUGUAAAGUACUUUCAGCGGGGAGGCGUUACCCGCAGAAGAAGCACCGGCUAACUCCGUGCCAGCAGCCGCGGUAAUAC
RNAcentral lists this ribosomal RNA (406 nucleotides) under uncultured bacterium. RNAcentral's name for it is "partial 16S ribosomal RNA". It matches the Rfam family "Bacterial small subunit ribosomal RNA", at positions 29 to 526 of the family's 1533-position model. The record is from RNAcentral.